UAUUUAAGUAUUAAAGGUGCCACCUGCCCAGUGAUUUUUUCAACGGCCGCGGUAUUCUAACCGUGCAAAGGUAGCGUAAUCACUUGUUCACUAAAUAUGGACCAGUAUGAACGGCUAAAUGAGGGCUGCCCUGUCUCCUUUGUCCAAUCAGUGAAACUGAUCUUCCAGUCCAAAAGCUGAAAUAUACUCAUAAGACGAGAAGACCCUGUGGAGCUUUAAAUUUAUAUCAGCAACACCACAUAGCCUUGUAUGAUUAAAAAUUUUAAGUUGGGGCAACUUCGGAACAAAACUAAACUUCCGAGAACAAGAUGUGUAUCUUACAAAGGCCUACAAGCCAAAAAUUGACCCAGUACAACUGAUAAACGAACCAAGUUACCCCAGGGAUAACAGCGCCAUCUUCUUCAAGAGUCCAUAUCGACAAGAAGGCUUACGACCUCGAUGUUGGAUCAGGACACCCAAACGGUGUAGCCGCUGUUAAAGGUUCGUUUGUUCAACGAUUAAUAGUCCUACGUGAUCUGAGUUCAGACCGG
This 530-nucleotide ribosomal RNA is filed under the name Enyalius iheringii (Ihering's fathead anole). RNAcentral's name for it is "partial 16S ribosomal RNA". It matches the Rfam family "Bacterial large subunit ribosomal RNA", at positions 1836 to 2619 of the family's 2925-position model. Lineage: Eukaryota; Metazoa; Chordata; Lepidosauria; Squamata; Leiosauridae. The record is from RNAcentral.